ACGCUCGACACCUACAGGAGGCAGCAGUGGGGAAUAUUGCACAAUGGGGGAAACCCUGAUGCAGCAACGCCGCGUGAGUGAAGAAGUAUUUCGGUAUGUAAAGCUCUAUCAGCAGGGAAGAUAAUGACGGUACCUGACUAAGAAGCUCCGGCUAAAUACGUGCCAGCAGCCGCGGUAAUCUGAGCGGGCUGGCAAGGC
This 198-nucleotide ribosomal RNA is filed under the name uncultured bacterium. RNAcentral's name for it is "partial 16S ribosomal RNA". It matches the Rfam family "Bacterial small subunit ribosomal RNA", at positions 328 to 539 of the family's 1533-position model. The record is from RNAcentral.